RNAcentral lists this long non-coding RNA (752 nucleotides) under Marmota monax (woodchuck). The stretch from base 673 to 745 matches the Rfam family "tRNA". Lineage: Eukaryota; Metazoa; Chordata; Mammalia; Rodentia; Sciuridae. The record is from RNAcentral.
AUUUGAUUAAGGAGUGUGGCUUGAGAAAUGGAAAAACAAAGAUGCCUAAACUAGCAGAAGGCAGGGUUCUUGUGGUCAAUGCUCAGGGACAGAGUCCAGCCCUUCACCAACUCUUCCAGCCCUUCACCGACUCUUCCAGCCCAUCAUAUCACAGGUAAGCGUCCAGUAAUUUUUGGGCCAAUUAAUCCUCCAAAACCUUCUCUAAAGAGCCAGUUCUUCUAGACACCAGAAGACCCCUAUGCCAUCUUGGAAGGGGUAGAGCUGCUUGGUUGGCCCUUCCAUGCCAUAGAAGCUUCCCUGGGGAAUACUCUGUUGCUACCCUCUGGUCCUACAGGUAAGAUGCUCUGUGGACAGAACCAAAACACUCAUCUCUCAAUCUAAUCACAAGGGAGUAGAAUUAAUCCAAACAACUCUAUGGAACAGAGAGAGCCAGUAGUAUUGUUGGGUGCUAAGUGGAAGCUGUGAGGGGAUGAUAAGCCAACUGUACCUUCUGGAUGUUCACAUUUGGAAGGAGAGAAUAUCUGCACAACAACAGCAGUAACCCACAUGCAGUGAUGUGCGAUCCCAGCCUGAGGGUGCAGCUAAGGAUCUGGGUGGAAGGGAAGAGCUCUUCAGGGAAAUCAAUAAGUCACCUAGAAAUUGCAGGGCCAAUUGAAAUAGAAUUUAUGGGCUGGGGAUAUAGCUCAGUUAGGAGAGUGCUUGCCUUGCAUGCACAACGCCCUGGGUUCACUCCCCAGCACCACCAAAAAAAA